AGAGUUUGAUCCUGGCUCAGAACGAACGCUGGCGGCAGGCCUAACACAUGCAAGUCGAACGAGGUAGCAAUACCUAGUGGCGCACGGGUGAGUAACACGUGGGAACGUACCCUUAGGUACGGAAUAACAGCGGGAAACUGCUGCUAAUACCGUAUGAUGUCUUCGGACCAAAGAUUUAUCGCCUAAGGAUCGGCCCGCGUCUGAUUAGCUAGUUGGUGGGGUAAUGGCCUACCAAGGCUACGAUCAGUAGCUGGUCUGAGAGGACGACCAGCCACACUGGAACUGAGACACGGUCCAGACUCCUACGGGAGGCAGCAGUGGGGAAUAUUGGACAAUGGGGGAAACCCUGAUCCAGCCAUGCCGCGUGAGUGCUAAGGCCUUCGGGUUGUAAAACUCUUUAGCAGGGGAAGAUAAUGACGGUACCCUGAGAAUAAGCUCCGGCUAACUUCGUGCCAGCAGCCGCGGUAAUACGAAGGGAGCUAGCGUUGUUCGGAAUCACUGGGCGUAAAGAGCGCGUAGGCGGCUAUGUAAGUCAGAGGUGAAAUCCCAGGGCUCAACCCUGGAACUGCCUUUGAAACUACAUGGCUAGAGUUCGUGAGAGGGUGGUGGAAUUCCUAGUGUAGAGGUGAAAUUCGUAGAUAUUAGGAGGAACACCAGUGGCGAAGGCGGCCACCUGGCACGAUACUGACGCUGAGGUGCGAAAGCGUGGGGAGCAAACAGGAUUAGAUACCCUGGUAGUCCACGCUGUAAACGAUGAGUGCUAGAUGUCGGGUCCACUAGGAUUCGGUGCCGUAGCUAACGCGUUAAGCACUCCGCCUGGGGAGUACGGUCGCAAGAUUAAAACUCAAAGGAAUUGACGGGGACCCGCACAAGCGGUGGAGCAUGUGGUUUAAUUCGAGGCAACGCGAAGAACCUUACCAGCUCUUGACAUGUCCAGUUUGGUCGGCAGAGAUGCCUUCCUUCACCUCGGGUGGCUGGAACACAGAUGCUGCAUGGCUGUCGUCGGCUCGUGUCGUGAGAUGUUGGGUUAAGUCCCGCAACGAGCGCAACCCUCGCCCUUAGUUGCCAUCAUUAAGUUGGGAACUCUAAGGGAACCGCCGGUGUCAAGCCGGAGGAAGGUGGGGACGACGUCAAGUCAUCAUGGCUCUUACGGGCUGGGCUACACACGUGCUACAAUGGUGGUGACAAUGGGCAGCAACCUCGCAAGGGGAAGCUAAUCUCCAAAAGCCAUCUCAGUUCAGAUUGUCCUCUGCAACUCGAGGGCAUGAAGCUGGAAUCGCUAGUAAUCGUAGAUCAGCAUGCUACGGUGAAUACGUUCCCGGGUCUUGUACACACCGCCCGUCACACCAUGGGAGUUGGUUCUGCCUGAAGCCGGUGAGCUAACCGCAAGGAAGCAGCCGUCCACGGUAGGGUCAGCGACUGGGGUGAAGUCGUAACAAGGUA
This 1443-nucleotide ribosomal RNA is filed under the name metagenome. Its description in RNAcentral is "bacterial SSU rRNA". It matches the Rfam family "Bacterial small subunit ribosomal RNA". The record is from RNAcentral.